AGUGAACGCUGGCGGUAGGCCUAACACAUGCAAGUCGAACGGCAGCACAGUAAGAGCUUGCUCUUACGGGUGGCGGGUGGCGGACGGGUGAGGAAUACAUCGGAAUCUACUUUUUCGUGGGGGAUAACGUAGGGAAACUUACGCUAAUACCGCAUACGACCUACGGGUGAAAGCAGGGGAUCUUCGGACCUUGCGCGAUUGAAUGAGCCGAUGUCGGAGUAGCUAGUUGGCGGGGUAAAGGCCCACCAAGGCGACGAUCCGUAGCUGGUCUGAGAGGAUGAUCAGCCACACUGGAACUGAGACACGGUCCAGACUCCUACGGGAGGCAGCAGUGGGGAAUAUUGGACAAUGGGCGCAAGCCUGAUCCAGCCAUACCGCGUGGGUGAAGAAGGACUUCGGGUUGUAAAGCCCUUUUGUUGGGAAAGAAAAGCAGCAGGUUAAUACCCCGCUGUUCUGACGGUACCCAAAGAAUAAGCACCGGCUAACUUCGUG
Molecule: ribosomal RNA, 492 nt
Filed under: uncultured bacterium
Lineage: Bacteria
Description: partial 16S ribosomal RNA
Rfam family: Bacterial small subunit ribosomal RNA
Source: RNAcentral